CCUGGUGAUUAUAGUCCUGGUGGUAACACCCGUUCCCAUUCCGAACACGACCGUGAAACGUCAGGACGCAGAUGGUACUAUGCCUUAAGGUAUGGGAGAGUAUGUGGUCGCCAGGU
RNAcentral lists this ribosomal RNA (116 nucleotides) under Pseudomonadota bacterium. Lineage: Bacteria; Pseudomonadati; Pseudomonadota. The record is from RNAcentral.